GCAGCCGCGGUAAUACGUAGGGGGCAAGCGUUAUCCGGAUUUACUGGGUGUAAAGGGAGCGUAGACGGAUUUGCAAGUCAGAUGUGAAAGGCGGGGGCUUAACCCCCGGAUUGCAUUUGAAACUGCAGAUCUUGAGUACCGGAAGGGCAGAUGGAAUUCCUGGUGUAGCGGUGAAAUGCGUAGAGAUCAGGAGGAACACCGGUGGCGAAAGCGGUCUGCUGGACGGUAACUGACGUUGAGGCUCGAAGGCGUGGGGAGCAAACAGGAUUAGAUACCCC
Molecule: ribosomal RNA, 278 nt
Filed under: uncultured Parasutterella sp.
Lineage: Bacteria; Pseudomonadati; Pseudomonadota; Betaproteobacteria; Burkholderiales; Sutterellaceae
Description: partial 16S ribosomal RNA
Rfam family: Bacterial small subunit ribosomal RNA
Source: RNAcentral